CCGAGUGAGGGUUCCGGCCCGACCUCCAACCCUUUGUGAAUUCGACCCAGUUGCCUCGGGGGCGACCCGGCCUUCGGGCGUCGGGGCCCCCGGUGGACCACCCAACCCUGCAUCGUUGCGUCUGAGUCGAAAUAUAAAUCAAUCA
This 145-nucleotide unclassified non-coding RNA is filed under the name uncultured fungus. RNAcentral describes it as "sequence contains ITS1, 5.8S rRNA gene". The record is from RNAcentral. Lineage: Eukaryota; Fungi.